AAGGUUUUAGCUUAAUUAAAGUGUCUGUUUUGCAUACAGGACAUGUAGGUUCAAGCCCUGCAAAUCUUA
RNAcentral lists this transfer RNA (69 nucleotides) under Centropristis striata (black sea bass). Its description in RNAcentral is "tRNA-Ala". It matches the Rfam family "tRNA". From Rfam's summary of the family: Transfer RNA (tRNA) molecules are approximately 80 nucleotides in length. Their secondary structure includes four short double-helical elements and three loops (D, anti-codon, and T loops). Lineage: Eukaryota; Metazoa; Chordata; Actinopteri; Perciformes; Serranidae. The record is from RNAcentral.